GCUGAGCACUCCUACGGGAGGCAGCAGUGGGGAAUAUUGCACAAUGGGCGCAAGCCUGAUGCAGCCAUGCCGCGUGUAUGAAGAAGGCCUUCGGGUUGUAAAGUACUUUCAGCAGUGAGGAAGGUGGGUAUGUUAAUAGCAUACUCAUUUGACGUUAGCUGCAGAAGAAGCACCGGCUAACUCCGUGCCAGCAGCCGCGGUAAUACGGAGGGUGCGAGCGUUAAUCGGAAUUACUGGGCGUAAAGCGCAUGCAGGUGGUUUGUUAAGUCAGAUGUGAAAGCCCGGGGCUCAACCUCGGAAUUGCAUUUGAAACUGGCAAACUAGAGUACUGUAGAGGGGGUAGAAUUUCAGGUGUAGCGGUGAAAAUGCGUAGAGAUCUGAAGGAAUACCGGUGGCGAAGGCGGCCCCCUGGACAGAUACUGACACUCAGAUGCGAAAGCGUGGGGAGCAAACAGGAUUAGAUACCCUGGUAG
Molecule: ribosomal RNA, 473 nt
Filed under: uncultured bacterium
Lineage: Bacteria
Description: bacterial SSU rRNA
Rfam family: Bacterial small subunit ribosomal RNA
Source: RNAcentral